UGUUUCCACUUCAACGGUGCCGUGCCGUAUUGUACAACACGGCGUAAUUUGCCGGAUUUGCAGAUCGAUCAGCAAGCCAUUUUCAGAGCACGGCACACGGUUUUUUCACUUCUGGCCAAUCACAGUCCAGAUAAAUUACGUCAUUGCCCACAUAUUUUCUGAUCAAGCGACAAAUCGCCUGCGGUGAUAGUCUAUGGGAGUUUACGUGUUAAAUGCAAAAUCGCACAUACACGUAGGUCUACGUGUAUUAUUACCUGCUGAAGAGAGGUGACUGAAGGAGCUAGGACUUGCCUGAUCUUGCAAUUCUUGGUCUGAUAACCAACAUGGAGGAAGCCCUUAUCCUAGAAGUGUAGGAAAAUCCAAUCCUGUAUGACAAGAGAUUGGAGAUGUUCAAGGAUACAGAAGUAAAAAAAUGAUGCAUGACAUGACAUUGGGCGUCAGCUUGUAAUCUCAGGUGACGUAGCGAGUUGAGGGACAACUUCCUAAAAAACGACAGAAAUGGAGAAGAAGAGUGGUGACGGAACUCCCUCAAAUGCAGCACGUAAAUACAAGUACAGUGAGGCAAUGGAAUUCCUACUUCCCCACAUACAUAAUCGAGAAACAAGUUCAAUCUUGGAUCCUGUGUUUGAUGUGGACACACCAGGAGAAGCCUGUACCAAACAGGAAGAAACUGAGCAGGAGAAUGGUGACAUCUGUCCACAACGUGGGUCAGGCUUCAUCGUCAUCGUCCUCAGGCACGUCCGCAACAUCAGUCCAGUCUUCAAGUCCCAAAUUCACUUCAAAUCGAGGAGACAAUGUUGCAGUAUUUUCAAAGCAGCGAUAGUCAUGGUGACAACAUAACUGUAGAUCCAUUUUUUUCCAGCUUGUCCCCCAUUGUCCCACACUGUAAAAGUUACCUCAAUGCCAGCUCCAUUGCAAUGCGGUUAAAUUUUGGUCUUCUGAACAUUGAACAUACUACUAUAGGAAUUAAAAGUUCUGUGUCUUCUAAAUCUAAGUCGAUUCCUAUUGAUGUGAUAAACGUCUCACAUGUUACAAUUUAAGAAUCCAAAUAUGUUUCGUAGAUUAAAAAAAAAAGUUAACAGAAAAUGUUCUAACUUGCUAUGCUCCACCGCUAAAAAGAGAGCUGAUAUCUCGUUCCCUCUGACAUCACUCAAUAUUCAUCUGAUUGUUAGCUAACAAAGGGACAGUGGUUUGCAGUUUGCCAGAGCUAACAACCUGUUAAUAGUCUCAACAUAAAAGAUGCAAUGUCAGACAUGCAGCAUCACCAACAAAUGGAAAGCGAUGUAUAUAUGAUUACAUCUGAAUGACUUAUGAUAAAUCCAUAUGAAAUAAAUCAUAAAAUGUGCUAUUCUAAUUUCCGCUUGAAUUUUUCACUUUAACGUCUCUCAUUGUUACAGUUGCAAGUCAGUCUCAAUUUGCAGAAAUUACGAUUGUAAAGGAUUAUGAUCUUCCUCUUUUGUAGAUCUCGGAAAUAUCGGCUGAACAU
Long non-coding RNA from Lytechinus pictus (painted urchin), 1486 nucleotides. RefSeq lists it as uncharacterized. NCBI's taxonomy places the organism in Eukaryota, Metazoa, Echinodermata, Echinoidea, Temnopleuroida, Toxopneustidae. The transcript is spliced from 4 exons. The record is from RefSeq and is a predicted model, not a curated record.